UACAGAGGUCUCAAGCGUUGUUCGGAUUCAUUGGGCGUAAAGGGCGCGUAGGCGGCGGGGUAAGUCGGGUGUGAAAUCUCAGAGCUCAACUCUGAAACUGCACUCGAUACUGCUCUGCUUGAGGACUGGAGAGGAGACUGGAAUUCACGGUGUAGCAGUGAAAUUCGUAGAUAUCGGGAGGAACACCAGUGGCGAAGGCGGCGAUCUGGGAAGAUACUGACGCUGAGGUGCGAAAGCGUGGGGAGCAAACAGG
This 253-nucleotide ribosomal RNA is filed under the name uncultured bacterium. RNAcentral describes it as "partial 16S ribosomal RNA". It matches the Rfam family "Bacterial small subunit ribosomal RNA", at positions 524 to 776 of the family's 1533-position model. The record is from RNAcentral.